GCAGAACGUGUGUCAGUUCACUCAGUCCCAGGAGCCCUGCAAAGCUGGCAUUAUUCUUCUCAUUCCAUAAAGAAGGAAACUGAGGCUAGGCAGAUUACGGGACUUGCCUCAAGUCCCACUGCUUGGAAGUGGCAAAGCCAGGAUUCCAGUCUAGGUUGGUCUGACUCCAAAGACUUAGUCCAGCGCUGAGCCCUAAGCACGAGGUUGUGGGAGAUGCCACUUGCUGUGCCUCCCUGAGCAACCCAGCCAGACUGCAGUUUGUUCUGUUCCAUCGAAGAUCACAGCUCAGAGACUCUCUUCUGUUUUUUAUCCACCGGAACCUCCAAGAAAAGCCACUGACAAGAUUAAGACAAUAUUAGAGAGGCAACUGAGAUAUAGAAGAGACAUCACAGGAAGCAGGAAACCACUCUGUCUUGAGCCGCCUACUAUGUGCUUUAUGACCUAUUUGUUUGCCCGAUGCCUUUUAUGGAUGAAGCCCGAGUCUCCCAUGCGGUGUGGCGCUUCCUCACCACAGAGCAGCUUUCCCCGGCCGGGAACCGCUGUCUGACGCCCUGCUCUGGUCCAACAACCGGUUCAAACGCGG
This 583-nucleotide long non-coding RNA is filed under the name Equus caballus (horse). RNAcentral describes it as "lncRNA (ENSECAG00000059852.1)". Lineage: Eukaryota; Metazoa; Chordata; Mammalia; Perissodactyla; Equidae. The record is from RNAcentral.